GGGCGUAAAGCGUACGUAGGCGGAUUAAUAAGUUAGAGGUGAAAUCCCAGGGCUCAACCCUGGAACUGCCUUUAAAACUGUUAGUCUUGAGAUCGAGAGAGGUGAGUGGAAUUCCAAGUGUAGAGGUGAAAUUCGUAGAUAUUUGGAGGAACACCAGUGGCGAAGGCGGCUCACUGGCUCGAUACUGACGCUGAGGUACGAAAGUGUGGGGAGCAAACAGGAUUAGAUACCCUGGUAGUCCACGCCGUAAACGAUGUCUACUAGCCGUUGGAAGACUUGAUCUUUUAGUGGCCCAGUUAACGCAAUAAGUAGACCGCCUGGGGAGUACGGCCGCAAGGUUAAAACUCAAAUGAAUUGACGGGGGCCCGCACAAGCGGUGGAGCAUGUGGUUUAAUUCGAUGCAACGCGAAGAACCUUACCUGGUCUUGACAUCCUGCGAACUUUCUAGAGAUAGAUUGGUGCCUUCGGGAACGCAGUGACAGGUGCUGCAUGGCU
Molecule: ribosomal RNA, 495 nt
Filed under: uncultured Paracoccaceae bacterium
Lineage: Bacteria; Pseudomonadati; Pseudomonadota; Alphaproteobacteria; Rhodobacterales; Paracoccaceae
Description: bacterial SSU rRNA
Rfam family: Bacterial small subunit ribosomal RNA
Source: RNAcentral